This 127-nucleotide small RNA is filed under the name Marmota monax (woodchuck). Lineage: Eukaryota; Metazoa; Chordata; Mammalia; Rodentia; Sciuridae. The record is from RNAcentral.
GCCAGGCACAGUGGGGCAUGCCUGUAAUCCCAGGAGCUCAGGAGGCUGAGGCAGGAGGAUCACAAGUUCAAAGCCAGCCUCAAUAACUUAGCGAGGCCCUAAGGAACUCAGUGAUAACCUGUCUCUA